RNAcentral lists this ribosomal RNA (1350 nucleotides) under uncultured marine eukaryote. RNAcentral's name for it is "SSU rRNA". It matches the Rfam family "Eukaryotic small subunit ribosomal RNA", at positions 411 to 1775 of the family's 1831-position model. The record is from RNAcentral.
CACUUCUAAGGAAGGCAGCAGGCGCGCAAAUUACCCAAUCCUGACUCAGGGAGGUAGUGACAAGAAAUAACAAUAAACCGGCUUAUGCCGGUUUAAUUGGAAUGAGUACAAUUUAAACAUCUUAACGAGGAACAAUUGGAGGGCAAGUCUGGUGCCAGCAGCCGCGGUAAUUCCAGCUCCAAUAGCGUAUACUAAAGUUGUUGCAGUUAAAAACCUCGUAGUUGGAUUUCUGUGGGGACGGAGCGGCCGGCCGCAACACGCGGUUCGAGCUAGCGCUUUCCCUACAUCCUGCCGCGAACCGUGCUACCAUUAAUUUGGUGGCGCCGGGGAUCGGCUCGAUUACUUUGAGAAAAAUAGAGUGUUCAAAGCAGGCCACAUGCCUUGAAUAAGUUAGCAUGGAAUAAUAACUAAGGACUUCGGUUCUAUUUUGUUGGUGUUCGGGACUGAAGUAAUGAUUGAUAGGGACAGUUGGGGCGGUCUGUAUUCCAAAGCGAGAGGUGAAAUUCUUAGACCUUCGGAAGACAAACAGCUGCGAAAGCGUUCCGCAAGGAUGUUCCCUUUGAUCAAGAACGAAAGUUGGGGACCGAAGACGAUCAGAUACCGUCGUAGUCUCAACUAUAAACUAUACCAGCUAGGGAUCGGCCAACGUUAUUUAAACCGACUUGGUCGGCACCUUAUGAGAAAUCAAAGCAUCUGGGUUCCGGGGGGAGUAUGGUCGCAAGGCUGAAACUUAAAGGAAUUGACGGAAGGGCACCACCAGCCGUGGAGCCUGUGGCUUAAUUUGACUCAACACGGGAAAACUUACCAGGUCCAGACAUAGUAAGGAUUGACAGAUUGAUAGCUCUUUCUUGAUUCUGUGGGUGGUGGUGCAUGGCCGUUCUUAGUUGGUGGAGUGAUUUGUCUGGUUAAUUCCGUUAACGAACGAGACCCCAGCCUGCUAAAUAGCGCGUGUGAGCUUUGCUCGCAGCGAGCUUCUUAGAGGGACUAUGAUGCGCGAUAGCACAUGGAAGUUUGGGGCAAUAACAGGUCUGUGAUGCCCUUAGAUGUUCUGGGCCGCACACGGGCUACACUGGCGCCUGCAACGAGCAUAUCAGCUGGCCCGAGAGGGUCUUGGCUAAUCUUUUGAACCGGCGCCGUGCUUGGGAUUGACCUUUGCAAUUGUUGGUCAUGCAACGAGGAAUGCCUUGUAAACGCGAGUCAUCAGCUCGCAUUGAAUACGUCCCUGCCCUUUGUACACACCGCCCGUCGCUCCUACCGAUGAAUGUUCCGAUGAAAUUUUCGGAGAGCACCUGUGAACUUGGCUCUGCCUUGCGAACGGGAGGCUCAAAGUCACUUAAAUCUGAACAUUUC